This 266-nucleotide ribosomal RNA is filed under the name uncultured Staphylococcus sp. RNAcentral's name for it is "partial 16S ribosomal RNA". It matches the Rfam family "Bacterial small subunit ribosomal RNA", at positions 96 to 355 of the family's 1533-position model. The record is from RNAcentral. Lineage: Bacteria; Bacillati; Bacillota; Bacilli; Caryophanales; Staphylococcaceae.
CGGCGGACGGGUGAGUAACACGUGGAUAACUUACCUAUAAGACUGGGAUAACUUCGGGAAACCGGAGCUAAUACCGGAUAAUAUAUUGAACCGCAUGGUUCAAUAGUGAAAGACGGUUUUGCUGUCACUUAUAGAUGGAUCCGCGCCGCAUUAGCUAGUUGGUAAGGUAACGGCUUACCAAGGCAACGAUGCGUAGCCGACCUGAGAGGGUGAUCGGCCACACUGGAACUGAGACACGGUCCAGACUCCUACGGGAGGCAGCAGUU